UUAUUAUGAGAGUUUGAUCCUGGCUCAGGACGAACGCUGGCGGCGUGCCUAAUACAUGCAAGUCGAACGCUUCUUUCCUCCCGAGUGCUUGCACUCAAUUGGAAAGAGGAGUGGCGGACGGGUGAGUAACACGUGGGUAACCUACCCAUCAGAGGGGGAUAACACUUGGAAACAGGUGCUAAUACCGCAUAACAGUUUAUGCCGCAUGGCAUAAGAGUGAAAGGCGCUUUCGGGUGUCGCUGAUGGAUGGACCCGCGGUGCAUUAGCUAGUUGGUGAGGUAACGGCUCACCAAGGCCACGAUGCAUAGCCGACCUGAGAGGGUGAUCGGCCACACUGGGACUGAGACACGGCCCAGACUCCUACGGGAGGCAGCAGUAGGGAAUCUUCGGCAAUGGACGAAAGUCUGACCGAGCAACGCCGCG
Molecule: ribosomal RNA, 423 nt
Filed under: Listeria monocytogenes
Lineage: Bacteria; Bacillati; Bacillota; Bacilli; Caryophanales; Listeriaceae
Description: bacterial SSU rRNA
Rfam family: Bacterial small subunit ribosomal RNA
Source: RNAcentral